This 459-nucleotide ribosomal RNA is filed under the name uncultured bacterium. RNAcentral describes it as "SSU rRNA". It matches the Rfam family "Bacterial small subunit ribosomal RNA", at positions 26 to 518 of the family's 1533-position model. The record is from RNAcentral.
AGAAUCAACGCUGGCGGCGUGCCUAACACAUGCAAGUCGAACGAGAAAGUGGAGCAAUCCAUGAGUAAAGUGGCGCACGGGUGAGUAACACGUGACUAACCUACCCUUGAGUGGGGGAUAACCUAGAGAAAUCUGGGCUAAUACCGCAUAAUACCUUCGGGUCAAAGGAGCAAUUCGCUUAAGGAGGGGGUCGCGGCCGAUUAGUUAGUUGGCGGGGUAAUGGCCCACCAAGACUGUGAUCGGUAUCCGGCCUGAGAGGGCGCACGGACACACUGGAACUGAAACACGGUCCAGACUCCUACGGGAGGCAGCAGUGGGAAUUUGCGCAAUGGGGGAAACCCUGACGCAGCAACGCCGCGUGGAGGAUGAAGCCCCUUGGGGCCGUAAACUCCUUUCGAUCGGGAAGAUAAUGACGGUACCGAGAGAAGAAGCCCCGGCUAACUUCGUGCCAGCAGCCGC